Nicotiana tabacum (common tobacco) is the source of this 618-nucleotide non-coding RNA. Lineage: Eukaryota; Viridiplantae; Streptophyta; Magnoliopsida; Solanales; Solanaceae. The record is from RefSeq and is a predicted model, not a curated record.
CAAAUAGAUGAAAAAAACCAUUUCUCCAAAAAGGAUUCUUAAGAAAAUUUUGAGUUUCCUUCUAUUUUUGAAGUCUUUGUUGGGAUUUUCAGAGGUUCAAGAAUAGAGUUUUGAUUUCCUUCAUGGCUGUUUUAAGUUAAUUGGUUGCCCUUUCUUGUCGUGGUUUUGUUAUUGUGGUUGAACCUUCAAUUUUUGGACCCAAGCUCACUUGACUGUUGACUGUUUGUUGCUAUUUGUUUCUUCUUCAAAGUUUCAGAAAGUUCUUCUUCUGUUUUUCCUGGUUUCUUUGCUACUACUGCUGUUAAGAUCUAUGGCUCGGAGGUGAACUACCAACAUUGUUAGUCUGGAAUUUAGGAACUUGUUAGGGCCUAGCUCAAUUAAAAUUUUAUAGGCAUUGAAAGUGGUCAUUUGUGUAUUAAAAUGAUACCUCCCUCUGUACUUGUUUUUUUGUAAGUAUAAUGUAUAUGUCAUAUUGAGUAACUUCGUGCUGCUUUAAUUUGGGUUGGUUUACCACUGAUUUCUCAUCAUGUAAAAGAAUGGGAGUUUGAAUGCUUGGGUUUAAGUUGCAAAAGUAGUACGAAGAGUCAUGAAUCUCUAAUUGGAUUUUGUGUUGUAAAA